UACCAGCUCUCCGAGUGGUAGGGAUGAUUAUUGGGCUUAAAGCGUCCGUAGCCGGCUUAGCAAGUCUCCUGUCAAAUUCAGCGACCUAAUCGUUGAGCCGCGGGAGAGACUACUAGGCUAGGAGGCGGGAGAGGCCGACGGUAUUCUCGGGGUAGGGGUGAAAUCCUAUAAUCCCGGGAGGACCACCAGUGGCGAAGGCUGUCGGCUAGAACGCGCUCGACGGUGAGGGACGAAAGCUGGGGGAGCGAACCGGAUUAGAUACCCGGGUAGUCCCAGCUGUAAACGAUGCGGGCUAGGUGUUGGGGUGGCUACGAGCCACUUCAGUGCCGCAGGGAAGCCAUUAAGCCCGCCGCCUGGGGAGUACGGCCGCAAGGCUGAAACUUAAAGGAAUUGGCGGGGGAGCACCACAAGGCGUGAAGCUUGCGGUUC
Molecule: ribosomal RNA, 429 nt
Filed under: uncultured archaeon
Lineage: Archaea
Description: bacterial SSU rRNA
Rfam family: Archaeal small subunit ribosomal RNA
Source: RNAcentral